This 425-nucleotide ribosomal RNA is filed under the name uncultured cyanobacterium. RNAcentral's name for it is "bacterial SSU rRNA". It matches the Rfam family "Bacterial small subunit ribosomal RNA", at positions 356 to 796 of the family's 1533-position model. The record is from RNAcentral. Lineage: Bacteria; Bacillati; Cyanobacteriota.
GGGGGAUCUUCCGCAAUGGGCGCAAGCCUGACGGAGCAACGCCGCGUGAGGGAGGAAUGUCUGUGGAUUGUAAACCUCUUUUCUCUGGGAAGAAGAUCUGACGGUACCAGAGGAAUCAGCAUCGGCUAACUCCGUGCCAGCAGCCGCGGUAAGACGGAGGAUGCAAGCGUUAUCCGGAAUUAUUGGGCGUAAAGCGUCCGUAGGCGGUUAAUUAAGUCAGUUGUUAAAGACUGCAGCUCAACUGUGGGAGAGCAACUGAAACUGGUUGACUAGAGUAUGGUAGGGGUAGAGGGAAUUCCUAGUGUAGCGGUGAAAUGCGUAGAUAUUAGGAAGAACACCAGUGGCGAAGGCGCUCUGCUGGGCCUGUACUGACACUGAGGGACGAAAGCUAGGGGAGCGAAAGGGAUUAGAUACCCCUGUAGUCA